GCGGAUAUGGCGAAAUUGGCAGACGCGCCAGCUUCAGGUGCUGGUGAGGGCAACCUCAUGCAGGUUCAAGUCCUGUUAUCCGCA
Molecule: transfer RNA, 84 nt
Filed under: Ruminococcus sp.
Lineage: Bacteria; Bacillati; Bacillota; Clostridia; Eubacteriales; Oscillospiraceae
Description: tRNA-Leu
Rfam family: tRNA
About the family: Transfer RNA (tRNA) molecules are approximately 80 nucleotides in length. Their secondary structure includes four short double-helical elements and three loops (D, anti-codon, and T loops).
Source: RNAcentral